GGUCUCCUCCCAAAGCGUAACGGAGGAGUACGAAGGUACGCUAGGUACGGUCGGAAAUCGUGCUGAUAGUGCAAUGGCAUAAGCGUGCUUAACUGCGAGACCGACAAGUCGAGCAGGUGCGAAAGCAGGUCAUAGUGAUCCGGUGGUUCUGUAUGGAAGGGCCAUCGCUCAACGGAUAAAAGGUACUCUGGGGAUAACAGGCUGAUACCGCCCAAGAGUUCAUAUCGACGGCGGUGUUUGGCACCUCGAUGUCGGCUCAUCUCAUCCUGGGGCUGUAGCCGGUCCCAAGGGUAUGGCUGUUCGCCAUUUAAAGAGGUACGUGAGCUGGGUUUAAAACGUCGUGAGACAGUUUGGUCCCUAUCUGCCGUGGGCGUUGGAUAUUUGAAGGGGGCUGCUCCUAGUACGAGAGGACCGGAGUGGACGAACCUCUGGUGUACCGGUUGUGACGCCAGUCGCAUCGCCGGGUAGCUAUGUUCGGAAGAGAUAACCGCUGAAAGCAUCUAAGCGGGAAACUCGCCUUAAGAUGAGAUAUCCCUGGGGACUUGAUCCCCUUGAAGGGUCGUUCGAGACCAGGACGUUGAUAGGUCAGGUGUGUAAGCGCAGUAAUGCGUUCAGCUAACUGAUACUAAUUGCCCGUAAGGCUUGAUCCUAUAACA
Molecule: ribosomal RNA, 656 nt
Filed under: Burkholderia ubonensis
Lineage: Bacteria; Pseudomonadati; Pseudomonadota; Betaproteobacteria; Burkholderiales; Burkholderiaceae
Description: bacterial LSU rRNA
Rfam family: Bacterial large subunit ribosomal RNA
Source: RNAcentral